AUGCUUCGCAAUUGCCCUACUCAUGGUUUGAAUUUAUGGAUGAUCAUACAAAAAUUUUAUGCCGGUUUGAACUUUGCUUCUAGAAAUCUCUUAGAUUCAGCCGCGGGAGGCACGUUUAUGGAAAUAACGUUGGGUGAUGCUACAAAACUUCUUGAUAAUAUUAUGGCUAAUUAUUCUCAAUGGCACACCAAAAGAUCUUCUAGUAAAAAGGUGCAUGCUAUAGAAGAAAUCAAUGUUUUGAGUGGAAAGAUGGAUGAACUUAUGAAAUUGUUUGCUACUAAAAACACUCCUUUUGAUCCCAAUGAUAUGCCUUUGUCUUCCUUGAUUGAGAAUAAUAAUGAAUCUAUGGAUGUGAAUUUUGUUGGUAGGAAUAGUUUUGCAAACAAUGCUUAUAGAGGAAACUUUAAUGCUAGACCAUUCCCUAGUAAUUCCUCUAAUAAUUAUGGAAAUUCCUACAAUAAUUCUUAUGGUAAUUUCAAUAAGUUUCCCUCUGAUUUUGAGAAUAGUGUGAAAGAAUUUAUGGUUUCUCAAAAGAAUUUUAAUGCUUUGCUUGAAGAAAAAUUGCUCAAAGUUGACGAUUUGGCUAGGAACGUUGAUAGACUUUCGCUUGAUGUUGAUUCUCUUAAACUUAGAUCUUCUCCUCCUAAGCAUGAUAUCAAUGAGUCUCUCAAAGUAAUGAGAAUUUCCAUUGAUGAGUGUAAGGAAAGAACCGCUAGAUUGCGUGCUAAAAAAGGAUUGCUUUAUAAAAGCGUGUUCUUCUAG
RNAcentral lists this ribosomal RNA (762 nucleotides) under Triticum aestivum (bread wheat). RNAcentral's name for it is "partial small subunit ribosomal RNA". Lineage: Eukaryota; Viridiplantae; Streptophyta; Magnoliopsida; Poales; Poaceae. The record is from RNAcentral.